This 220-nucleotide unclassified non-coding RNA is filed under the name uncultured fungus. RNAcentral's name for it is "sequence contains ITS1". The record is from RNAcentral. Lineage: Eukaryota; Fungi.
AUAUUCAAAUAAUAACCCCGUGGGGCUUCAAAGACAUGCGUUUGAACAGGCGUAUGUGAAGGGGGAGGGACGCCUCUCGCGAGGCAUCCCAACCAUAAGGUGCACGGGGUGUAAGGGACUAGUAAAACGGGAGGCGCGCACGCUGACCCUCGCGGGCCCGGCAUCCAACCCCCCUUAAAAUCUUACUGUAAUGAUCCUUCCGCAGGUUCACCUACGGAAA